GGAGAGGGAGGCAGUCAACCGGGAAAUCACCAUAUUAUUGCAUCUGUCCCAUAGUCUUUGCUGAGUCACAUUAGUCACUGGCCGGGGACAGGUGCCAUCAACAAAACCGAUUUUGUUUUUAGCAGAUAACGUGACAAUCAUCUUCCUCCUCCAACCCCCAUAGCCACUGCCCGAGAAGGGAGUGGACACAAGAGAGACUCCAGGAACAUCAGAGGAGUAGAUAAAAAGGGGACUGGUAUGGUCCACUGAGGAGGUACUAGCAUUCAUAUUAGAAGCCAUGAACAACAAUCAGUUUGAAAUAAAAAAAAAUCUCUGAGGAGGUACUAGCAUUCAUAUUAGAAGCCAUGAACAACAAUCAGAUUGAAAUAAAAAAAA
RNAcentral lists this long non-coding RNA (375 nucleotides) under Nicotiana benthamiana. RNAcentral describes it as "long non-coding RNA (NBEN_LNC011576)". The record is from RNAcentral. Lineage: Eukaryota; Viridiplantae; Streptophyta; Magnoliopsida; Solanales; Solanaceae.